This 443-nucleotide ribosomal RNA is filed under the name uncultured bacterium. RNAcentral's name for it is "SSU rRNA". It matches the Rfam family "Bacterial small subunit ribosomal RNA", at positions 26 to 518 of the family's 1533-position model. The record is from RNAcentral.
AGAGCGAACGCUGGCGGCAGGCCUAAUACAUGCAAGUCGAACGGACCCUUCGGGGUUAGUGGCGGACGGGUGAGUGACACGUGGGAACGUGCCCUUUGGUUCGGAACAACUCAGGGAAACUUGAGCUAAUACCGAAUGUGCCCUUCGGGGGAAAGAUUUAUCGCCAUUGGAGCGGCCCGCGUCUGAUUAGCUAGUUGGUGAGGUAAAGGCUCACCAAGGCGACGAUCAGUAGCUGGUCUGAGAGGAUGAUCAGCCACACUGGGACUGAGACACGGCCCAGACUCCUACGGGAGGCAGCAGUAGGGAAUCUGCGCAAUGGGCGAAAGCCUGACGCAGCCAUGCCGCGUGAAUGAUGAAGGUCUUAGGAUUAGUAAAAUUCUUUCAGCGGGACGAUAAUGACGGUACCCGCAGAAGAAGCCCGGCUAACUCGUGCCAGCAGCCGC